RNAcentral lists this small RNA (29 nucleotides) under Bombyx mori (domestic silkworm). Its description in RNAcentral is "ovarian small RNA-22007". The record is from RNAcentral. Lineage: Eukaryota; Metazoa; Arthropoda; Insecta; Lepidoptera; Bombycidae.
UAGAGCUGGCAACGAUGACACUGCCCGGG